UUUGAUCUGCUACAUGUUGAGAGUUUACAAAAUUUUCUUUUUAAUAAUUAAAAUGCUUUAUCAGUGAUAUUAUGCACAUAAUAUAUUGUAUAUUUACAUUUACAAAAUAAAAAUACCAACAAACUCAUGUUUUUUUAUACAACAUGAUUGAAAGAAAUAAUAGUCAUUGUGAUCUAUCGGCCUUUACCGUUCCACCCCCAAUUCUGUUAACUGUUAAAGCAUUAAGAUAUCUGAGAAAAGUAAUUUACUAAUCGCGAUGAUGCGAAAUGGCCCCCAAACUUUCCCCUAAGCCUGCAAUCUGCAAGGAAUUCGACUCAGUCGACUCAGUCGAAAUUGUCUUCAUUACUGUCGCCUUCACAUAACUUUUGAUCGUGCUGACACAGACCUGCAAGAUUAUCGCCUCGGGGUUCACGAACAUAAUACUGUGAUGUCGCAGACCAAGGAAGUAGAUAAUAAGGGGGAGUUCUCAUGUGAAGGAAUACUUGGAUGCCAAAGUUGCAGCCAGGGAUGGUUCUGUCGCACCAUAUAUAACGUCCCAGCCGUACUCUUAAUCGCUGUGGGAUUUAUAUUAAUCCUGGUCAUCGCUAAAAGAGCCUCCAAAAUGAUUCGCAGAUGGAAACGUAGGCGCCGCUCCUGUCCCUGCCGAUGAAAUAUGUAUCAACAAAAAAACAAUGUAAACCACAUGAUUUAUCCCGGCGUGGUGUGGGUUUAUGAAUAUUGUCUCGUAAUACUAAUUCGCCUCACAUUGCUCCUGCUUAUAAGUGAUAACAUUAAUUUAAAUUAGUUUCAAUAGUAUAAAAAAACUUUUGCCGGUUACAAUGUCUUUUAAUUAUUACAUUAUACUCUACAAAAACAGCGACAUCUAUCAUAAUAAAAUGU
Long non-coding RNA from Galleria mellonella (greater wax moth), 879 nucleotides. RefSeq lists it as uncharacterized. NCBI's taxonomy places the organism in Eukaryota, Metazoa, Arthropoda, Insecta, Lepidoptera, Pyralidae. The record is from RefSeq and is a predicted model, not a curated record. The transcript has 5 exons.